Non-coding RNA from Drosophila melanogaster (fruit fly), 706 nucleotides. The record is from Ensembl. Lineage: Eukaryota; Metazoa; Arthropoda; Insecta; Diptera; Drosophilidae.
AUUCCAAUUCUGGCCAUGACACGGCAGUCAAAUAUGUAAAUUUUGCCUAGCAUUCUGAAACUGGUUAGAAUUUUGGGAUCCUGGUUUUUGUGACGUCGAGUGUUGAAAAAUGGAAAAUUGAUGGACAAAUUGAUUAUGUCGUGCUUUGGCAGUUUCUGCAACCAAUAAUGCAUGUUGGGCAAACAAUUGCAGAUAUUAGCCCCAUUAACUGCUCGCCUGGAAGUUUGUCUCAAAAGUGGAAAAUAGAAAUCAAUUAGGUCUGCGUCAGAGGAACUCAUAAAGGCAUUGGCAUAACAUCGGGCCAUGUGAAAAUUGUGUCAACCGAUGUCUAGGAAAAUUGCCUAACCUCCAAGGGUGCGGUGCGGCAUUAUCGCAAAAGGGCAGAGGAACUCGUUCGUUUUCCCUGGCCUUUUGUGUGCAUCGAAGUAAAAGUAAAGCAUAACACACAGGCGGGCACCAGCCAGAAAAUACGAGCUCCAGCUCCAUGCACAUGGCAACUGGCAGCACUGGGUGUCCCCCAGAUCCAAAUCCAAGUCCUUCUCGGCUCCUCCCGUUCGGAAUCCCUGCAUAAAUGUGGCUAAAAUGUAAUGCAAACAAUUGAAAACUGUCAAUGCGGGUGGCUUAAGCGGCACCAGAAGCAAAAGUAUUCCAUGUAACUCUUAUAGUAGUCACUUUCCUAGCCAAAAUUUAGCUACGGGAAUUAUAU